UCUCUGGUGGCUCAGAUGGUAAAGCGUCUGCCUACAAUGCAGGAGACCCGGGUUCGAUCCCUGAGUUGGGAA
This 72-nucleotide transfer RNA is filed under the name Bos taurus (domestic cattle). It matches the Rfam family "tRNA". From Rfam's summary of the family: Transfer RNA (tRNA) molecules are approximately 80 nucleotides in length. Lineage: Eukaryota; Metazoa; Chordata; Mammalia; Artiodactyla; Bovidae. The record is from Rfam by way of RNAcentral. RNAcentral also lists the same sequence under 2 other names.